RNAcentral lists this ribosomal RNA (458 nucleotides) under uncultured bacterium. RNAcentral describes it as "partial 16S ribosomal RNA". It matches the Rfam family "Bacterial small subunit ribosomal RNA", at positions 338 to 795 of the family's 1533-position model. The record is from RNAcentral.
CCUACGUGAGGCAGCAGUGGGGAAUAUUGCACAAUGGGGGAAACCCUGAUGCAGCGACGCCGCGUGAGUGAAGAAGUAUUUCGGUAUGUAAAGCUCUAUCAGCAGGGAAGAAAUAGCGACCUUUGGGUCGCCAGACGGUACCUGAUUCAGAAGCCACGGCUAACUACGUGCCAGCAGCCGCGGUAAUACGUAGGGGGCAAGCGUUAUCCGGAUUUACUGGGUGUAAAGGGGACGUAGACGGCAGCGCAAGUCUGAAGUGAAAUGCCUGGACUUAACCCCGGAACUGCUUUGGAAACUGGGCAGCUAGAGUGGAGGAGAGGUAAGUGGAAUUCCAAGUGUAGCGGUGAAAUGCGUAGAUAUUAGGAGGAACACCAGUGGCGAAGGCGGCUUACUGGACUGUAACUGACGUUGAGGCUCGAAAGCGUGGGGAGCAAACAGGAUUAGAUACCCCAGUAGUC